GGAAGAACUGAGGGCAGGAGAGAAGGAGGGAAGGGAGGGGGAGAAAGACCCAUACAGUGGAGAGAGCAGAGUAGCAGCAAAGCUUUGAGGGCUGAAAAAGCAGAUGGACAAGUGUUAUUGACUGAGCAGGCUGGAGAAGGCGGACUGUUCAGUUGGCAGUGGGAGAGACCAAGAACCAGUCCUAUGAUUGCUACGGCUCCGAGAGUAGCAAGACCAGAUGCUCAGGAACCAGAGAAGGGCGUUAAGCGCUCAUGUAAGAAUUGGUUGCAAGCUGUUUAAGAAAGAACUAGAUUUCUAGAUCACCCCCUUCUCCUCACUGCUGCGCAUCUGCCCCUUCUCCGUUCAGGAGAAAACAAGAGGUUAAUUUUCUGGAGAGUAUAGAAUGGGAAGUGUCUGGGCUGAGGGAUGUCAGGCACAUUUGAGGGCAUGAGCCUAUGUGGAAAACAAGGAUUAAGUAAACAUCUGCAGCUGAAAGCUGAGACACCCCCGGGCCCCCUGCCCCCUGCUCACCCUCUUCUUCUACCGGGCUCUGUGGAUGCUGGCAGCAAGGCUUACUCUCCAAGUAGGGAUGGAAGAGUCUUCUCCGGGGAAUUAGAUGAGCUCAGGUGGAAAGCCCUAAGAUGCUGAUCUUACCAGUUCCACAACAAUUGGUUGAGACAGAUCCCUACUACAGUGAGACCCAAAGUCUACAAACCCCACCCACACACUCAGACCUUCCAAUCAGGUUUUUUGUUUCUCCUUCUUAAAUUUGAGUAGACAAUCAAAGAUCAACCGACAUCUGAGGAAAGCCUCCAACAUGAAGAUUGAGAACCACACAAAUGAAGAAACAACAACAAAAAAAUCAACUAUCUCUGAAGGAAACUUGGAGAAACCGAGAAUAUGCAUGGAGAAGAAGGGCACGGAACUGGGGUCUGCUUUUCUGAACGUUCCCAGGGCGCAUCCUGUGAUUCCAUGCUGCCUGCGACACGGCAGUUUCAUCUGGGGGUGUGCUGGUGAAUGUCUACAACCAAGAGACCUGCACAGCUCUCAGUUUACGGUUUGGAAAGUACCUCCUACGUGAAGACAUCUCCACAAGAAGGAGUCUUGCUUUUCUCUGAAGCCCCAUUGUAUUUUCUUUAAAAAAAUCCUUCUCACGGCCCUUUCAUUUUCAAUCUUGUGUCACAAUCGUUCUGUUACCCGGGCUUUGAUCCCACACUAUACGCCCCGCGUAACUUGCCCGUGGCGUAAAUAUUUGCUCGGUGAAAUAAUGAUCGCAUGAUAACACAAAUAAUACUUGUGAAAAAGUGCGUUCCGAUUCAGGGCUCUUAUUUUAUUUUCCC
Long non-coding RNA from Zalophus californianus (California sea lion), 1319 nucleotides. RefSeq lists it as uncharacterized. The transcript has 3 exons. The record is from RefSeq and is a predicted model, not a curated record. Lineage: Eukaryota; Metazoa; Chordata; Mammalia; Carnivora; Otariidae.